UACGUAGGGUGCAAGCGUUAAUCGGAAUUACUGGGCGUAAAGCGUGCGCAGGCGGCUUUGCAAGACAGAUGUGAAAUCCCCGGGCUUAACCUGGGAACUGCAUUUGUGACUGCAUGGCUGGAGUGCGGCAGAGGGGGAUGGAAUUCCGCGUGUAGCAGUGAAAUGCGUAGAUAUGCGGAGGAACACCGAUGGCGAAGGCAAUCCCCUGGGCCUGCACUGA
RNAcentral lists this ribosomal RNA (220 nucleotides) under uncultured bacterium. RNAcentral's name for it is "partial 16S ribosomal RNA". It matches the Rfam family "Bacterial small subunit ribosomal RNA", at positions 524 to 743 of the family's 1533-position model. The record is from RNAcentral.